RNAcentral lists this small nuclear RNA (18 nucleotides) under Arabidopsis thaliana (thale cress). RNAcentral describes it as "snRNA_16517". The record is from RNAcentral. Lineage: Eukaryota; Viridiplantae; Streptophyta; Magnoliopsida; Brassicales; Brassicaceae.
GCAUUGGGGUACUCCUUC